RNAcentral lists this ribosomal RNA (254 nucleotides) under uncultured microorganism. RNAcentral's name for it is "partial 16S ribosomal RNA". It matches the Rfam family "Archaeal small subunit ribosomal RNA", at positions 474 to 727 of the family's 1478-position model. The record is from RNAcentral.
CACUGGCGGCUCGAGUGGUGGCCACUUUUAUUGGGUCUAAAGCGUCCGUAGCCGGCUUGGCAAGUCCCCUGGGAAAUCUGGCGGCUUAACCGUCAGGCGUCCAGAGGAUACUGCCAGGCUUGGGACCGGGAGAGGUGAGAGGUACCUCAGGGGUAGGGGUGAAAUCUUGUGAUCCCUGAGGGACCACCAGUGGCGAAGGCGUCUCACUAGAACGGGUCCGACGGUCAGGGACGAAAGCUGGGGGCACGAACCGG